AUUGAACGCUGGCGGCAUGCCUUACACAUGCAAGUCGAACGGUAACAGGUCUUCGGAUGCUGACGAGUGGCGAACGGGUGAGUAAUACAUCGGAACGUGCCUAGUAGUGGGGGAUAACUACUCGAAAGAGUGGCUAAUACCGCAUGAGAUCUACGGAUGAAAGCAGGGGAUCGCAAGACCUUGUGCUACUACAGCGGCCGAUGGCAGAUUAGGUAGUUGGUGGGAUAAAAGCUUACCAAGCCGACGAUCUGUAGCUGGUCUGAGAGGACGAUCAGCCACACUGGGAAUGGGACACGGCCCAGACUCCUACGGGAGGCAGCAGUGGGGAAUUUUGGACAAUGGGCGCAAGCCUGAUCCAGCAAUGCCGCGUGCAGGAUGAAGGCCUUCGGGUUGUAAACUGCUUUUGUACGGAACGAAAAGCCCCGGGUUAAUACCCUGGGGUCAUGACGGUACCGUAAGAAUAAGCACCGGCUAACUACGUGCCAGCCGCCGCCGUAA
This 498-nucleotide ribosomal RNA is filed under the name uncultured bacterium. RNAcentral's name for it is "partial 16S ribosomal RNA". It matches the Rfam family "Bacterial small subunit ribosomal RNA", at positions 30 to 523 of the family's 1533-position model. The record is from RNAcentral.